This 497-nucleotide ribosomal RNA is filed under the name uncultured bacterium. Its description in RNAcentral is "partial 16S ribosomal RNA". It matches the Rfam family "Bacterial small subunit ribosomal RNA", at positions 28 to 507 of the family's 1533-position model. The record is from RNAcentral.
GAUGAACGCUGGCGGCGUGCCUAAUACAUGCAAGUCGAGCGAACGGACGAGAAGCUUGCUUCUCUGAUGUUAGCGGCGGACGGGUGAGUAACACGUGGAUAACCUACCUAUAAGACUGGGAUAACUUCGCGAAACCGGAUCUAAUACCGGAUGAUAUUUUGAACCGCAUGGUUCAACAGUGAAAGACGGUCUUGCUGUCACUUAUAGAUGGAUCCGCGCUGCAUUAGCUAGUUGGUAAGGUAACGGCUUACCAAGGCAACGAUGCAUAGCCGACCUGAGAGGGUGAUCGGCCACACUGGAACUGAGACACGGUCCAGACUCCUACGGGAGGCAGCAGUAGGGAAUAUUGGGCAAUGGGCGAAAGCCUGACGGAGCAACGCCGCGUGAGUGAUGAAGGUCUUCGGAUCGUAAAACACUGUUAGUAGGGAAGAACAUAUGUGUAAGUAACUGUGCACAUCUUGACGGUACCUAAUGAGAAAGCCACGGCUAACUACGUG